UGAGCUUUGUCGAUUGAACUCUAGGCAUUUUAGUGAUACAUUCUAAGUUUGGCUUAAAUAAACUCUUAGGCUCAGAGCAAACGAACUGCUCUGAUACCACUCUGUCACGACCGGCCUUAAUUAAGGAUAAUUAAUCCGGGAAAACCAUGACUGGGGAAGGGAAAUUAAGAAGCGGGUUGAGAAAGGGGCGCAUAAAAGAAUACUCAAAGGACUUGAAUACGCGUGAAAUAUUCCUUAAAAAGGAAAAAGGCAUAGGUCGCAUAAAAAGGGUACUCAAAGAACUUGUAUACGCGUUAUAUUCCUUAAAAGGAAAAAGGCAUCGUUAGGGGCUUGGCUAAAAUAUUAUCAGAGUUUGCAACGGAAGGCGUAACUGAAAUAAUCAGUGUUUACAGCGGAAUGCAUAACUGAGAUACAUGUAUGAAGACAUGUACCCUUUCUGAGCCUACUUUAAGUUCGACAAAAACUCCACUCAGCAACAACACUUCAUCGCCCAUCACAGCUCAACCUGCACAAAACAUAAACAUCGAAGGGCUAAGUACAAGAGUACUUAGUGGGCAGUGCCAAGCAUAUAACAUAAUAUCAACAACAAAACACAACUUCGCAUAAGAGGCAUAAGUUCUUUCAUAUCAUUUGCUCAUUAAACAUUUCCAAAUUCAUAAAUAGCAUAAGGGCAUUCUUCAUCAUCAACAAUCAUAAACAAGCAUCGUGUCGUGGAGAAGGCUUCCCCAACGAACACGGGCAUCGCACCGUGAGAGGGGGCCUCCCUCAGCGGUCACGGCAUCGUACUAUUGAGGGAGGCCUCCCCCAAUAGACGCUGUAACACUGGCAUACUGGCAUACUGGCAUCGCGCCGCGAGAGAGGCCUCUCUCAGCGGACACGGGCAUCGCGCCGUGAGGAAGGCCCUCCUCAGCGGACACGGCAUCGUACUGUUGAGGGAGGCCUCCCCCAACAGACGCAAGCAUCAAACAUAAGCAUAAACUUAUCAGCAUAAAGCAUUCAAGCGUAAAUAAGCGUAAUCAAGCGUAAAUUACAUAGGCGUAAAUCAUUUAACGUGCAGCAUAAUAAAGCUUAACUCAUUUAAGCGUAAUAAAGCAUACCACACUUGAAGAUCCAAUUUGCAUUUUAAAAGCAUAACACUUGCAUAACAUCUUAUUUACGCGUAAGAAAUUGCCCACCUGAUCGCAAAGUUUUGCUAAGUACUGUGACUUCUUGAAUAGUUCUUACUCUCGCGCUUGACCUUAAUCACGA
RNAcentral lists this long non-coding RNA (1248 nucleotides) under Salvia miltiorrhiza (redroot sage). RNAcentral describes it as "long non-coding RNA (SMIL_LNC006597)". Lineage: Eukaryota; Viridiplantae; Streptophyta; Magnoliopsida; Lamiales; Lamiaceae. The record is from RNAcentral.